This 467-nucleotide ribosomal RNA is filed under the name uncultured bacterium. RNAcentral describes it as "partial 16S ribosomal RNA". It matches the Rfam family "Bacterial small subunit ribosomal RNA", at positions 28 to 507 of the family's 1533-position model. The record is from RNAcentral.
GACGAACGCUGGCGGCGUGCUUAACACAUGCAAGUCGAACGGAAAGGCCCUGCUUUUGUGGGGUGCUCGAGUGGCGAACGGGUGAGUAACACGUGAGUAACCUGCCCUUGACUUUGGGAUAACUUCAGGAAACUGGGGCUAAUACCGGAUAGGAGCUCCUGCUGCAUGGUGGGGGUUGGAAAGUUUCGGCGGUUGGGGAUGGACUCGCGGCUUAUCAGCUUGUUGGUGGGGUAGUGGCUUACCAAGGCUUUGACGGGUAGCCGGCCUGAGAGGGUGACCGGCCACAUGGGGACUGAGAUACGGCCCGGACUCCUACGGGAGGCAGCAGGGGGGAAUAUGGCACAAUGGGCGGAAGCCUGAUGCAGCAACGCCGGGUGCGGGAUGACGGCCUUCGGGUGGUAAACCGCUUUCGCCUGUGACGAAGCGUGAGUGACGGUAAUGGGUAAGAAGCACCGGCUAACUACGUG